UACGGGGGGGGCAAGCGUUGUUCGGAUUUACUGGGCGUAAAGGGCGCGUAGGCGGCAUGACAAGUCACUUGUGAAAUCUCCGGGCUUAACUCGGAACGGUCAAGUGAUACUGUCGCACUAGAGUGCGGAAGGGGCAAUCAGAAUUCUUGGUGUAGCGGUGAAAUGCGUAGAUAUCAAGAGGAAUACCUGAGGUGAAGACGGGUUGCUAGGCCGACACUGACGCUGAAGCGCGAAAGCCAGGGGAGCAAACGGG
RNAcentral lists this ribosomal RNA (253 nucleotides) under uncultured bacterium. Its description in RNAcentral is "partial 16S ribosomal RNA". It matches the Rfam family "Bacterial small subunit ribosomal RNA", at positions 524 to 776 of the family's 1533-position model. The record is from RNAcentral.